Molecule: long non-coding RNA, 253 nt
Filed under: Capsella rubella
Lineage: Eukaryota; Viridiplantae; Streptophyta; Magnoliopsida; Brassicales; Brassicaceae
Description: long non-coding RNA (CRUB_LNC001445)
Source: RNAcentral
CCUCGUAGAACGUCUAAUCAAUUUUGUCCUUAACUCCUACGUAUAUAUAAAUUUAAUAGUUCACAGAUAAUUAAACACCCAAAAUUUUGUUGUCAUUUAAAAAAAAAAAACGUACUCAACUUUCGAAAGAAACAUUAUUGAAAAUUAUUUGGACCCCCUUCCUAUGACAUUUGUGGUUGAACAUUAUUAUUAUUGUUGACAAAUCUCGUGAUAUUAAUGGCUAUAUAUGGGACAUGUGUAUAUUGUAUAGUCA